ACGAACGCUGGCGGCGUGCUUAACACAUGCAAGUCGAACGGAAAGGCCCUGCUUUUGUGGGGUGCUCGAGUGGCGAACGGGUGAGUAACACGUGAGUAACCUGCCCUUGACUUUGGGAUAACUUCAGGAAACUGGGGCUAAUACCGGAUAGGAGCUCCUGCUGCAUGGUGGGGGUUGGAAAGUUUCGGCGGUUGGGGAUGGACUCGCGGCGUAUCAGCUUGUUGGUGGGGUAGUGGCUUACCAAGGCUUUGACGGGUAGCCGGCCUGAGAGGGUGACCGGCCACAUUGGGACUGAGAUACGGCCCAGACUCCUACGGGAGGCAGCAGUGAGGAAUAUUGCACAAUGGGCGGAAGCCUGAUGCAGCAACGCCGCGUGCGGGAUGACGGCCUUCGGUUUGUAAACCGCUUUCGCCUGUGACGAAGCGUGAGUGACGGUAAUGGGUAAAGAAGCACCGGCUAACUACGUG
RNAcentral lists this ribosomal RNA (467 nucleotides) under uncultured bacterium. RNAcentral's name for it is "partial 16S ribosomal RNA". It matches the Rfam family "Bacterial small subunit ribosomal RNA", at positions 29 to 507 of the family's 1533-position model. The record is from RNAcentral.